This 486-nucleotide ribosomal RNA is filed under the name uncultured bacterium. RNAcentral's name for it is "partial 16S ribosomal RNA". It matches the Rfam family "Bacterial small subunit ribosomal RNA", at positions 28 to 507 of the family's 1533-position model. The record is from RNAcentral.
GAUGAACGCUGGCGGCGUGCCUAAUACAUGCAAGUCGAACGCUGGAGCUCUAGCUUGCUAGAUCGAAGGAGUGGCGAACGGGUGAGUAAUACAUAAGCAACCUACCCACGAAGACUGGGAUAAUCUCUGGAAACGGGGACUAAUACCGGAUAGGUAAUCGGAAGGCAUCUUCUGGUUAUUAAAGGUUAAAAACACUGGUGGAUGGGCUUAUGGCGCAUUAGUUAGUUGGUGAGGUAACGGCCCACCAAGACGAUGAUGCGUAGCCGGCCUGAGAGGGUGAACGGCCACAUUGGGACUGAGACACGGCCCAGACUCCUACGGGAGGCAGCAGUAGGGAAUUUUCGGCAAUGGGGGCAACCCUGACCGAGCAACGCCGCGUGAGUGAAGACGGCCUUCGGGUUGUAAAGCUCUGUUGUAAGGGAAGAACGGUAGAUAGAGAAUAUCUAAGUGACGGUACCUUACCAGAAAGCCACGGCUAACUACGUG